GACGAACGCUGGCGGCGUGCUUAACACAUGCAAGUCGAACGGAAAGGCCCUGCUUUUGUGGGGUGCUCGAGUGGCGAACGGGUGAGUAACACGUGAGUAACCUGCCCUUGACUUUGGGAUAACUUCAGGAAACUGGGGCUAAUACCGGAUAGGAGCUCCUGCUGCAUGGUGGGGGGUGGAAAGUUUCGGCGGUUGGGGAUGGACUCGCGGCUUAUCAGCUUGUUGGUGGGGUAGUGGCUUACCAAGGCUUUGACGGGUAGCCGGCCUGAGAGGGUGACCGGCCACAUUGGGACUGCGAUACGGCCCAGACUCCUACGGGCGGCAGCAGUGGGAAAUAUUGCACAAUGGGCGGAAGCCUGAUGCAGCAGCGCCGCGUGCGGGAUGACGGCCUUCGGGUUGUAAACCGCUUUCGCCUGUGACGAAGCGUGAGUGACGGUAAUGGGUAAAGAAGCACCGGCUAACUACGUG
RNAcentral lists this ribosomal RNA (468 nucleotides) under uncultured bacterium. Its description in RNAcentral is "partial 16S ribosomal RNA". It matches the Rfam family "Bacterial small subunit ribosomal RNA", at positions 28 to 507 of the family's 1533-position model. The record is from RNAcentral.